RNAcentral lists this long non-coding RNA (1031 nucleotides) under Vulpes vulpes (red fox). RNAcentral describes it as "lncRNA (ENSVVUG00000018868.1)". The record is from RNAcentral. Lineage: Eukaryota; Metazoa; Chordata; Mammalia; Carnivora; Canidae.
UAGGUCCCAUGCCCAUCGCUUUGGGGUAAUUCAGCUUUAUGUUUAUAAAUUUAUAAAUUUAUCUUUAGAGAUCUGUCUUCAGAACACAAUCACAUCACUGACACAGCAAAGGGGGUAGAAGAACGUCAGACAGCUCAUGGCCAAGGAAGAGAUGCAGAAGAGGAGCUGGAAAAGCUCUCAGAUCCAGAGACAGCGGAACGAGGCCGACCAAGAAUCACGGUGCUGUUCAUUUCAGACAUGGGAGCAGAAGACAAGAUUUCAGACUCAUACACACUGCGACCCCAUGCCCGACUUCAAAAAAACAGUGAUUCAUCCAGACACCAAAGCUCAGCAGCUCAGAGUCAACCUCAAAUAUAGUCAAAGCUCACCAAGUGCUCCCCCAAGAAAAAUAGAACCUAAGUGCCUGACGACCUUUACCGCAGGCAUAUUUUUAGGGACGUGCCUAUCCCGUAUACUUCUUGCUCCCUCACGUAGAAGGAAAUCUCUAGAAUAACACCUCCAACUGAGCCUCUCUUCCUCCAACUCUCUUGCUCCCCAGGCUUUUCGCCGGAGGCAGGUAGGAUGGAGAAGAUCCCACUCGAAAGGAGACAGAAGUUCACCUCAGUAGGACAGCCCACUUUAUCAUUUAUUUUUAGAACGCCAUGGAUUUGGCCCCAAAAGAAGUGGCUGAUGGUGCUCUGGAAGGCAUUAGCACAUUUGCCCGGCAAUGGAUAUUUGAACCUUUUGCAAAAAUAUUGCAGUUUUGACCUCAUUAUCCUUUUAUAGUCAGUCAGGAAUACUUUUUUUAAAAAAAUUUAUUUAUUUGUUUGACAGAGAGGGCACAAGCAGGGGAAGAGGGCGAAGGAGACUCUCCGUUGAGCAGGGAGCCUGCCGUGGGGCUCAAACCCAGAACCCUGGGAUCAUGACCUGAGCCCAAGGUGCUCACUUAACCAACUGAGCCACUUAGGUGCCCUUCAAGAAUUCUUAAUAAGCUUGAGUAGCAUGAGUGGAACUUCCCUUGUGUAUCACUGAUACUAUUCUUUUAUUUUUUU